AUUGCUCUGGGUUGGUCUAGGUUGAACUGCAGCUCCUGAUCGGCCUUCGCCUCUCUCCGUCCCAAAGUGACAUUCCUGCCAUGCCUGAGACUUCACCCAGCCCCCACGUAAUUUUCUCAUUUAACUUGCUCCCUGUACGUUGCUCUGAGCGUCUGCCUCAGCUGAAAGCAUCGUCUCCAUGGCGUCGCUAUCCCAGUGGAGCUCGAGCCAAGGGUUGUGGUUUUCCUGGGGUUCAGAUAAGGAGGUGGGGGAAGAACCGGAAGUGACACGGCAUCAGAUCCAAAGGUGGACGAGGACACACCACAGUGUAUUUACAAGCCUGCUGUUCCUUCAGACGGAACCUGGUAGCAGCAUUCACUUUAUUGUUAACCACAUAGUGUAGAGACCCUCAUGAAAAAAGGCUUGCAGACUGCUUUAGAAGGAGACAAGAAUGAUGAGACUAUAUUUGGCAUUAAACCGAGCUCAGCAGAAGUCACGAUCGUCAGCCUGUGGUUUGCGUUCUCCAGCCUUCAAGAAGGUUCCCUUCGCCUGCGCUGCACAAGGCUGCCUUUGCUUUUGCUUGUCUGACGCUGUCUAUAAUUUGAGAAUAGAGGUGAGAAAGAAUGUGGAUAUUCUAUUUUGUGACAUUUUUGUGGUGGCAUAGGUGUUUGAGAAUAGAGGUGAGAAAAUGUGGAUUUUCUAUUUUGUGAUAUUUUUGUGGUGGCAU
This 706-nucleotide long non-coding RNA is filed under the name Chinchilla lanigera (long-tailed chinchilla). Its description in RNAcentral is "lncRNA (ENSCLAG00000025265.1)". The record is from RNAcentral. Lineage: Eukaryota; Metazoa; Chordata; Mammalia; Rodentia; Chinchillidae.